Molecule: ribosomal RNA, 494 nt
Filed under: uncultured bacterium
Lineage: Bacteria
Description: partial 16S ribosomal RNA
Rfam family: Bacterial small subunit ribosomal RNA
Source: RNAcentral
GACGAACGCUGGCGGCGCGCUUAACACAUGCAAGUCGAGCGGAAAGGCCUGCUUUCCCUUGUGGAUUGCGGGUACUCGAGUGGCGAACGGGUGAGUAACACGUGAGUGAUCUGCCCCCAACUUGGGUAUAAGCCUGGGAAACUGGGUCUAAUUCCCGAUAGGACUGCAGGGUGGUGCCUGUGGUGGAAAACGAUUUUCUAGUGGUUGGGGAUGAGCUCGCGGCCUAUCAGCUUGUUGGUGGGGUAAUGGCCUACCAAGGCGGCGACGGGUAGCCGGCCUGAGAGGGUGGACGGCCACAUUGGGACUGAGAUACGGCCCAGACUCCGACGGGAGGCAGCAGUGGGGAAUAGUGCACAAUGGGCGGAAGCCUGAUGCAGCGACGCCGCGUGGGGGAUGACGGCCUUCGGGUUGUAAACUCCUUUCGACCGCGAGGAAGCCACCUGGUUGGAAGGGUGGUGACGGUAGUGGUAGAAGAAGCACCGGCUAACUACGUG